GGGGGCGCGGGAGUCUCGCCUCGGCCCGCCGCUAGGGCAGUUAGAGGCGCGGGGAUCCGGGGUGAGCCGGCGGCUGCUGGGAGGCAGUGUCCAGACGCCGGCGGGGCCAGGCGGCCCGGCUCUGCUUGUCCGGUCGUGGCCUGAGAACCGGGAGGACGCUGGAGAAAAGCUGCCCUCUGAAUGUUUGUUUGGCUGCCCAGGCUCGCCUUUACUCCAAAUGUUCCGUUGAAAACAUAUACACAGGGAAAGCCUAUGACCCAGUUGUGCACCACACCCACAUUUGAGUCAGGGGCUCCUGCCCCGCACUGUGAGCGCUCUGGAUAAGCCAGUGCCGAGGGGGAAAGAGCUCUGAAUGCCAAAGCAUGAGUCUCAACUCCACCUCCAGCUCUGAGAGCUGUGGGCAGGGAAGGGCGCUAGUCCACUGUGCUGUAGAAAGACCAGUCUGCCACUGUAUGGCACAUGGAUGGCGGGGACAGAG
Molecule: non-coding RNA, 478 nt
Organism: Macaca mulatta (Rhesus monkey)
Lineage: Eukaryota; Metazoa; Chordata; Mammalia; Primates; Cercopithecidae
Source: RefSeq, a predicted model, not a curated record